Molecule: ribosomal RNA, 495 nt
Filed under: uncultured bacterium
Lineage: Bacteria
Description: partial 16S ribosomal RNA
Rfam family: Bacterial small subunit ribosomal RNA
Source: RNAcentral
GACGAACGCUGGCGGCGUGCCUAAUACAUGCAAGUAGAACGCUGAAGGAGGAGCUUGCUUCUCCGGAUGAGUUGCGAACGGGUGAGUAACGCGUAGGUAACCUGCCUGGUAGCGGGGGAUAACUAUUGGAAACGAUAGCUAAUACCGCAUAAGAGUAGAUGUCGCAUGACAUUUGCUUAAAAGGUGCAACUGCACCACUACCAGAUGGACCUGCGUUGUAUUAGCUAGUUGGUGAGGUAACGGCUCACCAAGGCAACGAUCCAUAGCCGACCUGAGAGGGGGGUCGGCCCACCUGGGACCGGGGCACGGCCCAGACCCCUACGGGGGGCAGCCGUAGGGAAACUUUGGCAACGGACGGAAGGCUGACCGGAUCACGCCGCGUGAGUGAAGAAGGUUUUCGGGACGGAAAGACCUGUUGAAAGAGAAGAAAGAGUGUGAGAGUGGAAAGUUCACACUGUGACGGUAUCUUACCAGAAAGGCACGGCUAACUACGUG